RNAcentral lists this ribosomal RNA (514 nucleotides) under uncultured rumen bacterium. RNAcentral's name for it is "bacterial SSU rRNA". It matches the Rfam family "Bacterial small subunit ribosomal RNA", at positions 161 to 653 of the family's 1533-position model. The record is from RNAcentral.
UGCUAAUACCGAAUGUUGUGGUGAAUCCGCAUGGAUUUACUACUAAAGAUGACCUCUAUUUAUAAGUUAUCGCUCAACGAUGGGCCUGCGUCUGAUUAGCUAGUUGGUGGGGCAACGGCCUACCAAGGCGACGAUCAGUAGCCGGUCUGAGAGGAUGAACGGCCACAUUGGAACUGAGACACGGUCCAGACUCCUACGGGAGGCAGCAGUGGGGAAUCUUCCGCAAUGGGCGAAAGCUGACGGAGCAACGCCGCGUGAGUGAAGAAGGCCUUCGGGUCGUAAAGCUCUGUUGAAGGGGACGAAUGUCAAGACUAUCAGCAACGGUUUUGAAUGACGGUACCUUUCGAGGAAGCCACGGCUAACUACGUGCCAGCAGCCGCGGUAAUACGUAGGUGGCGAGCGUUGUCCGGAAUUAUUGGGCGUAAAGGGAGCGCAGGCGGGAAGGUAAGUCUAUCCUAAAAGUUCGGGGCUCAACUCCGUGAGGGGAUGGAAACUAUCUUUCUUGAGUGCAGGA